Molecule: ribosomal RNA, 381 nt
Filed under: uncultured bacterium
Lineage: Bacteria
Description: bacterial SSU rRNA
Rfam family: Bacterial small subunit ribosomal RNA
Source: RNAcentral
GACGAACGCUGGCGGCGUGCUUAAUACAUGCAAGUCGAGCGAGGCCCAUCCAGUGGCAACACUGGGGAAGGCCGAGCGGCGAACGGGUGAGUAACACGUGAGCAACCUGCCCCGAAGUCUGGAAUAACAUCGGGAAACCGGUGCUAAUACCGGAUUGCCCCACCUGACCGCAUGAUCGGGUGAGGAAAGAUCUAUCGCUUCGGGAGGGGCUCGCGGCCUAUCAGCUAGUGGCGGGGUAACGGCCCACCAAGGCGUCGACGGGUAGCUGGUCUGAGAGGACGACCAGCCACACUGGGACUGAGACACGGCCCAGACUCCUACGGGAGACAGCAGUAGGGAAUCUUGCGCAAUGGGCGAAAGCCUGACGCAGCAACGCCGCGU